CCUACGGGAGGCAGCAGUGGGGAAUCUUCCGCAAUGGGCGAAAGCCUGACGGAGCCACGCCGCGUGAUCGAAUGCAGGCCUUCGGGUUGUAAAGAUCUGUUGACAGGGACGAAUAAGCUCUGCACAUAGUUUCGUGUAUGACGGUACCUGUUUAGAAAGCUCCGGCUAACUACGUGCCAGCAGCCGUGGGAAUACGGAGGGAGCAAGCGUUGUCCGGAAUUACUUGGCGUAAAGGGCGCGUAGGUGGGCGCUUAAGUCAGGUGUGAAAACUCCGGGGUCAACCUCGGGACUGCACUUGAAACUGGCUGUCUUGGGGGCAGGAGAGGAAAGUGGAAUGCCUAGUGUAGCGGUGAAAUGCGUAGAUAUUAGGAGGAACACCAGUGGCGAAGGCGACUUUCUGGACCGUACCUGACGCUGAGGCGCGAAAGCGUGGGUAGCGAACGGGAUUAGAUACCCCUGUAGUA
RNAcentral lists this ribosomal RNA (464 nucleotides) under uncultured bacterium. RNAcentral describes it as "partial 16S ribosomal RNA". It matches the Rfam family "Bacterial small subunit ribosomal RNA", at positions 338 to 795 of the family's 1533-position model. The record is from RNAcentral.